RNAcentral lists this ribosomal RNA (266 nucleotides) under uncultured bacterium. RNAcentral describes it as "partial 16S ribosomal RNA". It matches the Rfam family "Bacterial small subunit ribosomal RNA", at positions 28 to 314 of the family's 1533-position model. The record is from RNAcentral.
AGCGAACGCUGGCGGCAUGCUUAACACAUGCAAGUCGCACGACCGGGUUUCGGCCUGGGAGUGGCGGACGGGUGAGUAUCGCGUAGGGAUUUGUCGUUGGGUGGGGGACAACCUUGGGAAACUGGGGCUAAUACCGCAUGACGCCUGUGGGCCAAAGCUCGAGAGGGCGCCUGACGAGGAGCCUGCGUCCGAUUAGGUAGUUGGUUGGGUGAUGGCUGACCAAGCCUGCGAUCGGUAGCUGGUCUGAGAGGAUGGCCAGCCACACU